RNAcentral lists this ribosomal RNA (490 nucleotides) under uncultured bacterium. RNAcentral's name for it is "partial 16S ribosomal RNA". It matches the Rfam family "Bacterial small subunit ribosomal RNA", at positions 29 to 507 of the family's 1533-position model. The record is from RNAcentral.
AGUGAACGCUGGCGGCAGGCCUAACACAUGCAAGUCGAACGGCAGCACAAGAGAGCUUGCUCUCUGGGUGGCGAGUGGCGGACGGGUGAGGAAUGCAUCGGAAUCUGCCCAUUUGUGGGGGAUAACCUCGGGAAACCGGGACUAAUACCGCAUACGACCUACGGGUGAAAGCAGGGGAUCUUCGGACCUUGCGCAGAUGGAUGAGCCGAUGCCGGAUUAGCUAGUUAGAGGGGUAAAGGCCCACCAAGGCGACGAUCCGUAGCUGGUCUGAGAGGAUGAUCAGCCACACUGGGACUGAGACACGGCCCAGACUCCUACGGGAGGCAGCAGUGGGGAAUAUUGGACAAUGGGCGCAAGCCUGAUCCAGCCAUGCCGCGUGUGUGAAGAAGGCCUUCGGGUUGUAAAGCACUUUUGUUGGGAAAGAAAAGCAGCCGGUUAAUACCCGGUUGUCAUGACGGUACCCAAAGAAUAAGCACCGGCUAACUUCGUG